GACGAACGCUGGCGGCGUGCCUAAUACAUGCAAGUCGAACGCACUCUCGUUUAGAUUGAAGGAGUUUGCUCCUGAUUGAUAAACAUUUGAGUGAGUGGCGGACGGGUGAGUAACACGUGGGUAACCUGCCCUAAAGGGGGGGAUAACAUUUGGAAACAGAUGCUAAUACCGCAUAAAACCUAACACCGCAUGGUGUAGGGUUGAAAGAUGGUUUCGGCUAUCACUUUAGGAUGGACCCGCGGUGCAUUAGUUAGUUGGUGAGGUAAAGGCUCACCAAGACCGUGAUGCAUAGCCGACCUGAGAGGGUAAUCGGCCACACUGGGACUGAGACACGGCCCAGACUCCUACGGGAGGCAGCAGUAGGGAAUCUUCCACAAUGGACGAAAGUCUGAUGGAGCAACGCCGCGUGAGUGAAGAAGGUUUUCGGAUCGUAAAACUCUGUUGUUGGAGAAGAAUGUAUCUGAUAGUAACUGAUCAGGUAGUGACGGUAUCCAACCAGAAAGCCACGGCUAACUACGUG
Molecule: ribosomal RNA, 520 nt
Filed under: uncultured bacterium
Lineage: Bacteria
Description: partial 16S ribosomal RNA
Rfam family: Bacterial small subunit ribosomal RNA
Source: RNAcentral